Molecule: long non-coding RNA, 882 nt
Organism: Tupaia belangeri chinensis (Chinese tree shrew)
Lineage: Eukaryota; Metazoa; Chordata; Mammalia; Scandentia; Tupaiidae
Exons: 2
Source: RefSeq, a predicted model, not a curated record
AAUCCCUUAGAAUAACUAACAAAACAUAAAUGCUAAUUUAUAUUAGCUUUAGGCUACUAUUUAUAAAUGCUAUGUAGGAGAGACAUAGGAUUGUCAAAUUUUUAAAAAAUGCCUGCCAUACGCCUAACAGGAGAUAUAAGGGAAAAUUGGGAUGCUUUGGAAUCCCCAUUAUCAUAUUAUUUCUUAAACAUGGUACUUAAUACUAAGUAUAUUUAGUUUGUGCUACAUGAAAUUUUUAUUUUGGAAUGUCAAAAAAACUGAAUAUCAACAUUAUGGUUCAAUAUGAUUUUCAAUCAAAUGUACACUAUAUAUAGAUAGUAAUUUGAUUUCAUACUUUAUUUCUUAGGCUGAGCCAUUAAAAGUUGGUGGUAGUGAUAUAUGCCUGGCAACCUUACUUAGUUCUUGAGGAACUGGGAGACUUGCUGCCUAUAUGAUCAGGAAAGAGCAUGUAUCAAGCUGGUGAAAUGUUAGUAAAGUUUAUGGUGACAAGAACAUCAGUGACAAUGAUUGUGAAAUUCUGUGCUGCUGAUUUUGACCUCAAUGACGCUCCUUGGUCAGGGAGACCCACUGAAGUUGAUGACAAAAUAAAGGCAUUGACGCUCCUUGGUCAGGGAGACCCACUGAAGUUGAUGACAAAAUAAAGGCAUUGAUGGAGUUGAACCCAUGUUACACAACACAAGAGAAUGUAGAAACAUUGACCAUCCAGCAUUCAAGCAUUCACGACCACUCGAAGAACCUGGGACACAUAAGCAAGCUUGAUUAUUUGGAUUCCUCAUGAACUCAAAGAAGUUAAUUUGACAGCAUGUAUAAACAUCUGCAAUAUGCUCAUUAAAUGUGAGAAAAAUGACCCUAUUUUAAGCAACCAAUACCUGGUAAUGAGAA